UUCAUGGAGAGUUUGAUCCUGGCUCAGGACGAACGCUGGCGGCGUGCCUAAUACAUGCAAGUCGAGCGGACCGACGGGAGCUUGCUCCCUUAGGUCAGCGGCGGACGGGUGAGUAACACGUGGGUAACCUGCCUGUAAGACUGGGAUAACUCCGGGAAACCGGGGCUAAUACCGGAUGCUUGAUUGARCCGCAUGGUUCAAUYAUAAAAGGUGGCUUUCAGCUACCACUUACAGAUGGACCCGCGGCGCAUUAGCUAGUUGGUGAGGUAACGGCUCACCAAGGCGACGAUGCGUAGCCGACCUGAGAGGGUGAUCGGCCACACUGGGACUGAGACACGGCCCAGACUCCUACGGGAGGCAGCAGUAGG
This 368-nucleotide ribosomal RNA is filed under the name Bacillus licheniformis. Its description in RNAcentral is "bacterial SSU rRNA". It matches the Rfam family "Bacterial small subunit ribosomal RNA", at positions 1 to 358 of the family's 1533-position model. Lineage: Bacteria; Bacillati; Bacillota; Bacilli; Caryophanales; Bacillaceae. The record is from RNAcentral.